GACGAACGCUGGCGGCGUGCUUAACACAUGCAAGUCGAACGGAAAGGCCCUGCUUUUGUGGGGUGCUCGAGUGGCGAACGGGUGAGUAACACGUGAGUAACCUGCCCUUGACUUUGGGAUAACUUCAGGAAACUGGGGCUAAUACCGGAUAUGAUCUCCUGCUGCAUGGUGGGGGUUGGAAAGUUUCGGCGGUUGGGGAUGGACUCGCGGCUUAUCAGCUUGUUGGUGGGGUAGUGGCUUACCAAGGCUUUGACGGGUAGCCGGCCUGAGAGGGUGACCGGCCACAUUGGGACUGCGAUACGGACCAGACUCCUACGGGAGGCAGCAGUGGGGAAUAUUGCACAGUGGGCGGAAGCCUGAUGCAGAAACGCCGCGUGCGGGAUGACGGCCUUCGGGUUGUAAACAGAUUUCGCCUGUGACGAAGCGUGAGUGACGGUAAUGGGUAAAGAAGCACCGGCUAACUACGUG
This 468-nucleotide ribosomal RNA is filed under the name uncultured bacterium. RNAcentral's name for it is "partial 16S ribosomal RNA". It matches the Rfam family "Bacterial small subunit ribosomal RNA", at positions 28 to 507 of the family's 1533-position model. The record is from RNAcentral.